AUGAACGCUGGCGGCGUGCCUAAUACAUGCAAGUCGAGCGAACGGACGAGAAGCUUGCUUUUCUGAUGUUAGCGGCGGACGGGUGAGUAACACGUGGAUAACCUACCUAUAAGACUGGGAUAACUUCGGGAAACCGGAGCUAAUACCGGAUAAUAUUUUGAACCGCAUGGUUCAAAAGUGAAAGACGGUCUUGCUGUCACUUAUAGAUGGAUCCGCGCUGCAUUAGCUAGUUGGUAAGGUAACGGCUUACCAAGGCAACGAUGCAUAGCCGACCUGAGAGGGUGAUCGGCCACACUGGAACUGAGACACGGUCCAGACUCCUACGGGAGGCAGCAGUAGGGAAUCUUCCGCAAUGGGCGAAAGCCUGACGGAGCAACGCCGCGUGAGUGAUGAAGGUCUUCGGAUCGUAAAACUCUGUUAUUAGGGAAGAACAUAUGUGUAAGUAACUGUGUACAUCUUGACGGUACCUAAUCAGAAAGCCACGGCUAACUACGUG
RNAcentral lists this ribosomal RNA (496 nucleotides) under uncultured bacterium. RNAcentral's name for it is "partial 16S ribosomal RNA". It matches the Rfam family "Bacterial small subunit ribosomal RNA", at positions 29 to 507 of the family's 1533-position model. The record is from RNAcentral.